RNAcentral lists this ribosomal RNA (372 nucleotides) under Escherichia coli. RNAcentral's name for it is "partial 23S ribosomal RNA". It matches the Rfam family "Bacterial large subunit ribosomal RNA", at positions 149 to 559 of the family's 2925-position model. The record is from RNAcentral. Lineage: Bacteria; Pseudomonadati; Pseudomonadota; Gammaproteobacteria; Enterobacterales; Enterobacteriaceae.
UAUCAUUAACUGAAUCCAUAGGUUAAUGAGGCGAACCGGGGGAACUGAAACAUCUAAGUACCCCGAGGAAAAGAAAUCAACCGAGAUUCCCCCAGUAGCGGCGAGCGAACGGGGAGGAGCCCAGAGCCUGAAUCAGUGUGUGUGUUAGUGGAAGCGUCUGGAAAGGCGCGCGAUACAGGGUGACAGCCCCGUACACAAAAAUGCACAUACUGUGAGCUCGAUGAGUAGGGCGGGACACGUGGUAUCCUGUCUGAAUAUGGGGGGACCAUCCUCCAAGGCUAAAUACUCCUGACUGACCGAUAGUGAACCAGUACCGUGAGGGAAAGGCGAAAAGAACCCCGGCGAGGGGAGUGAAAAAGAACCUGAAACCGU